GCUGCGGUAGUGUAAUGGGUCAACCUUGCAGACCGGAUAUUUGUAAGGGCGGGUUCAAAUCCCGCCUGAGACU
RNAcentral lists this transfer RNA (73 nucleotides) under Dictyocaulus viviparus (bovine lungworm). It matches the Rfam family "tRNA". From Rfam's summary of the family: Transfer RNA (tRNA) molecules are approximately 80 nucleotides in length. Their secondary structure includes four short double-helical elements and three loops (D, anti-codon, and T loops). Further hydrogen bonds mediate the characteristic L-shaped molecular structure. tRNAs have two regions of fundamental functional importance: the anti-codon, which is responsible for specific mRNA codon recognition, and the 3' end, to which the tRNAs corresponding amino acid is attached (by aminoacyl-tRNA synthetases). tRNAs cope with the degeneracy of the genetic code in two manners: having more than one tRNA (with a specific anti-codon) for a particular amino acid; and 'wobble' base-pairing, i.e. permitting non-standard base-pairing at the 3rd anti-codon position. The record is from Rfam by way of RNAcentral. Lineage: Eukaryota; Metazoa; Nematoda; Chromadorea; Rhabditida; Metastrongylidae.